GAUGAACGCUGGCGGCGUGCCUAAUACAUGCAAGUCGAGCGAACAGACGAGGAGCUUGCUCCUCUGACGUUAGCGGCGGACGGGUGAGUAACACGUGGAUAACCUACCUAUAAGACUGGGAUAACUUCGGGAAGCCGGAGCUAAUACCGGAUAAUAUAUUGAACCGCAUGGUUCAAUAGUGAAAGACGGUUUUGCUGUCACUUAUAGAUGGAUCCGCGCCGCAUUAGCUAGUUGGUAAGGUAACGGCUUACCAAGGCAACGAUGCGUAGCCGACCUGAGAGGGUGAUCGGCCACACGGGAACUGGGACACGGUCCAGACUCCUACGGGAGGCAGCAGUAGGGAAUCUUCCGCAAUGGGCGAAAGCCUGACGGAGCAACGCCGCGUGAGUGAUGAAGGUCUUCGGAUCGUAAAACUCUGUUAUUAGGGAAGAACAAAUGUGUAAGUAACUAUGCACGUCUUGACGGUACCUAAUCAGAAAGCCACGGCUAACUACGUG
RNAcentral lists this ribosomal RNA (497 nucleotides) under uncultured bacterium. RNAcentral's name for it is "partial 16S ribosomal RNA". It matches the Rfam family "Bacterial small subunit ribosomal RNA", at positions 28 to 507 of the family's 1533-position model. The record is from RNAcentral.